This 253-nucleotide ribosomal RNA is filed under the name uncultured bacterium. RNAcentral's name for it is "partial 16S ribosomal RNA". It matches the Rfam family "Bacterial small subunit ribosomal RNA", at positions 524 to 776 of the family's 1533-position model. The record is from RNAcentral. RNAcentral also lists the same sequence under 1 other name.
UACGGAGGGUGCAAGCGUUAAUCGGAAUUACUGGGCGUAAAGCGCGCGUAGGCGGUCUUGUAAGUCGGAUGUGAAAUCCCCGGGCUCAACCUGGGAACUGCAUUCGAUACUGCUCGACUAGAGUAUGGAAGAGGGAAGGGGAAUUCCGGGUGUAGCGGUGAAAUGCGUAGAUAUCCGGAGGAACACCAGUGGCGAAGGCGCCUUCCUGGGCCAAUACUGACGCUGAGGCGCGAAAGCGUGGGGAGCAAACAGG